GUGACUGAAAGCAAAAGACAAAACACAUCAGAAGUCAAGAGUGUGUGUUCCGAAAUCAGGUGGUGUGUUAAUGCUACAUUAUCAUUUUUCUUUCUCUUUUGUUUGAUUUUUACAAGCUAUUUACGUUAUUUUUGUUCUGUUUGUAAUAUAGGGUAGUUUAAGGACAUUGUGCUAUGUGUUUAGUGUUGUUUUUGGAAGCUUAUGUUCGGGAAACUGCAUUUGUUGUAGUAGCUAACCAUUUCAAAGUUUUAUGUAAUGGUUGUUUUAAUUUCAAGUAAGCUAUUUAUGAUUU
This is a long non-coding RNA of Ipomoea nil (Japanese morning glory), 292 nucleotides long. RefSeq lists it as uncharacterized. The record is from RefSeq and is a predicted model, not a curated record. The transcript has 2 exons. NCBI's taxonomy places the organism in Eukaryota, Viridiplantae, Streptophyta, Magnoliopsida, Solanales, Convolvulaceae.